UAGGCUGACUAAAAGAGAAAUCAAGGAUUAAUUGUAGGUUUUUACACUGAGCACUUGAAAAGAGCUGCUAUUUGCUGAUAUGAGUGAGGAGUAGUCUUGGAGAAAGAAAACCAAGAGUACUGUUUUGAACAAAAUGUUGAAGACUCCUGGUAAAUAUCGAAGUGUAAAUAUCAAAUAGGAAGUCAUAAAUAUGAGAAUCUGGAGUUUAGGAAAGAGAAUCAAUCAAAAGAUCUCAUAUCAGUUUGUAAGAUCUCAUAUCAGUUUGUAAGAUCUCAUAUCAGUCUGAUUCUUAUUUUUUUGUAGAUAAUCUAUGCUUUCUUUCUGUAAAUAUUUAGAAGCAUGAUGUCUAUGUAUGUAUAUAUAUACACACACUCUCCCCUCCCCCCGCCAGGACUGCCUCAGUUUUCAUCUCAGUAUUUGACUAAAAUCUUCUAUUCAACUUCAGUUUCAGCCUUAGAAUAACCAGAUGUCUAAGUCAAUGUCAUUUGGCACAUCUCUAGACUUGUGCAAUCACAAAAGUCACCAUUACCGCUACAUAGUACGUAUUAUGACCAAUGGAUAUCAUUCAGAGUUCUAGUUUACAUAUGCUAUUAUCAAACAUAUAUAAGACUUUUAAUAUAACUUGGGAGUGAAAUUAGUAAAAUUCUAUCAAUGUACAUAAAUUAAUUUUACUAUAAAAAUGAAAUACAUUGAUGUAUGAAAGUUUCUGUA
Molecule: long non-coding RNA, 711 nt
Filed under: Pongo abelii (Sumatran orangutan)
Lineage: Eukaryota; Metazoa; Chordata; Mammalia; Primates; Hominidae
Description: lincRNA
Source: RNAcentral